RNAcentral lists this ribosomal RNA (511 nucleotides) under uncultured bacterium. RNAcentral describes it as "partial 16S ribosomal RNA". It matches the Rfam family "Bacterial small subunit ribosomal RNA", at positions 28 to 523 of the family's 1533-position model. The record is from RNAcentral.
GAUGAACGCUGGCGGUGUGCCUAAUACAUGCAAGUCGAGCGGAUUUUCGGAAGCUUGCUUCCGAAAAUUAGCGGCGGACGGGUGAGUAACACGUGGGCAACCUGCCUGUAAGACUGGGAUAACUUCGGGAAACCGGAGCUAAUACCGGAUACAUUCUUCCCUCGCAUGAGGGAAGAUGGAAAGACGGUUUUGCUGUCACUUACAGAUGGGCCCGCGGCGCAUUAGCUAGUUGGUGAGGUAAUGGCCCACCACGGCGACGAUGCGUAGCCGAACUGGGAGGGGGAUUGGCCAGACUGGGACUGAGACACGGCCCAGACUCCUACGGGAGGCAGCAGUAGGGAAUCUUCCGCAAUGGACGAAAGUCUGACGGAGCAACGCCGCGUGAGCGAAGAAGGCCUUCGGGUCGUAAAGCUCUGUUGUCAGGGAAGAACAAGUACCAUAGUAACUGAUGGUACCUUGACGGUACCUGACCAGAAAGCCACGGCUAACUACGUGCCAGCCGCCGCGGUAA